This 126-nucleotide ribosomal RNA is filed under the name uncultured eukaryote. RNAcentral's name for it is "partial 18S ribosomal RNA". It matches the Rfam family "Eukaryotic small subunit ribosomal RNA", at positions 1679 to 1801 of the family's 1831-position model. The record is from RNAcentral.
CUACUACCGAUUGAAUGGCUCAGUGAGGCCUUCGGACUGGCUCAGAGAGGUCGGCAACGACCACUCAGAGCUCGGAAAGUUCGUCAAACUUGGUCAUUUAGAGGAAGUAAAAGUCGUAACAAGGUU